CCACCAAAAAGAAUCCCAGGAUGGCAAGCAAAAGUCUAAUAACAAAGUGAGCAAGACAAAGAAGAAAGAGAAACGAGAAAGAGAGCCAAGGUUUUCCUUCUUGACCAAGAGUGAGAUUGAUCACCUUGAAGAUGGUUACAGAUGGAGAAAGUACGGCCAGAAGGCAGUCAAGAAUAGUCCUUAUCCAAGAAGCUAUUACAGAUGCACCAGUCAGAAGUGCACAGUGAAGAAACGAGUAGAGAGAUCAUUCCAAGACCCAUCAAUUGUGAUCACAACUUAUGAAGGGAAACAUAACCAUCAAUGUCCAGCGACUCUUCGAGCUAAUACUGCAGCAGGACUUCUGGCAUCCACAUCAUCCAUGGCCCGUCAAAGCUUUCCUCAGGAGCUCUUGGCCCGCUUGCUUCCUCCCCAUGAUAAUAUUAAUAACCAAUGUGACCCUACUGCACCCAUGUUCUAUCAACACCUUAAUGCCCCACAAAAGCAGGCGCAACAGCAGCAGCUUCAUCUUCUUCCUGAUUAUGGCCUAUUGCAAGAUUUUGUUCCCUCUACCUUCCUCCCAAAACAGCACCCGUGAACUCCUAUCAGUCAUUUUUUUCACUAAUUUAUGUUCGCAGAUUUUUAUGGAUGAACUAAUUCCAUGCAUAUAUGUAUUCUCCAUCUUCCAAUCAGG
Molecule: unclassified non-coding RNA, 670 nt
Filed under: Hevea brasiliensis (rubber tree)
Lineage: Eukaryota; Viridiplantae; Streptophyta; Magnoliopsida; Malpighiales; Euphorbiaceae
Source: RNAcentral